AGAGUUUGAUCAUGGCUCAGAUUGAACGCUGGCGGCAGGCCUAACACAUGCAAGUCGAACGGUAACAGGAAGAGGCUUGCUUCUUUGCUGACGAGUGGCGGACGGGUGAGUAAUGUCUGGGAAACUGCCUGAUGGAGGGGGAUAACUACUGGAAACGGUAGCUAAUACCGCAUAACGUCGCAAGACCAAAGAGGGGGACCUUCGGGCCUCUUGCCAUCGGAUGUGCCCAGAUGGGAUUAGCUAGUAGGUGGGGUAACGGCUCACCUAGGCGACGAUCCCUAGCUGGUCUGAGAGGAUGACCAGCCACACUGGAGCUGAGACACGGUCCAGACUCCUACGGGAGGCAGCAGUGGGGAAUAUUGCACAAUGGGCGCAAGCCUGAUGCAGCCAUGCCGCGUGUAUGAAGAAGGCCUUCGGGUUGUAAAGUACUUUCAGCGGGGAGGAAGGGAGUAAAGUUAAUACCUUUGCUCAUUGACGUUACCCGCAGAAGAAGCACCGGCUAACUCCGUGCCAGCAGCCGCGGUAAUACGGAGGGUGCAAGCGUUAAUCGGAAUUACUGGGCGUAAAGCGCACGCAGGCGGUUUGUUAAGUCAGAUGUGAAAUCCCCGGGCUCAACCUGGGAACUGCAUCUGAUACUGGCAAGCUUGAGUCUCGUAGAGGGGGGUAGAAUUCCAGGUGUAGCGGUGAAAUGCGUAGAGAUCUGGAGGAAUACCGGUGGCGAAGGCGGCCCCCUGGACGAAGACUGACGCUCAGGUGCGAAAGCGUGGGGAGCAAACAGGAUUAGAUACCCUGGUAGUCCACGCCGUAAACGAUGUCGACUUGGAGGUUGUGCCCUUGAGGCGUGGCUUCCGGAGCUAACGCGUUAAGUCGACCGCCUGGGGAGUACGGCCGCAAGGUUAAAACUCAAAUGAAUUGACGGGGGCCCGCACAAGCGGUGGAGCAUGUGGUUUAAUUCGAUGCAACGCGAAGAACCUUACCAGGUCUUGACAUCCACGGAAGUUUUCAGAGAUGAGAAUGUGCCUUCGGGAACCGUGAGACAGGUGCUGCAUGGCUGUCGUCAGCUCGUGUUGUGAAAUGUUGGGUUAAGUCCCGCAACGAGCGCAACCCUUAUCCUUUGUUGCCAGCGGUCCGGCCGGGAACUCAAAGGAGACUGCCAGUGAUAAACUGGAGGAAGGUGGGGAUGACGUCAAGUCAUCAUGCCCCUUACGACCAGGGCUACACACGUGCUACAAUGGCGCAUACAAAGAGAAGCGACCUCGCGAGAGCAAGCGGACCUCAUAAAGUGCGUCGUAGUCCGGAUUGGAGUCUGCAACUCGACUCCAUGAAGUCGGAAUCGCUAGUAAUCGUGGAUCAGAAUGCCACGGUGAAUACGUUCCCGGGCCUUGUACACACCGCCCGUCACACCAUGGGAGUGGGUUGCAAAAGAAGUAGGUAGCUUAACCUUCGGGAGGGCGCUUACCACUUUGUGAUUCAUGACUGGGGUGAAGUCGUAACAAGGUA
This 1500-nucleotide ribosomal RNA is filed under the name metagenome. RNAcentral's name for it is "bacterial SSU rRNA". It matches the Rfam family "Bacterial small subunit ribosomal RNA". The record is from RNAcentral.